This 497-nucleotide ribosomal RNA is filed under the name uncultured bacterium. Its description in RNAcentral is "partial 16S ribosomal RNA". It matches the Rfam family "Bacterial small subunit ribosomal RNA", at positions 28 to 507 of the family's 1533-position model. The record is from RNAcentral.
GAUGAACGCUGGCGGCGUGCCUAAUACAUGCAAGUCGAGCGAACAGAUAAGGAGCUUGCUCCUUUGACGUUAGCGGCGGACGGGUGAGUAACACGUGGGUAACCUACCUAUAAGACUGGAAUAACUCCGGGAAACCGGGGCUAAUGCCGGAUAACAUGUUGAACCGCAUGGUUCUACAGUGAAAGGCGGCUUUGCUGUCACUUAUAGAUGGACCCGCGCCGUAUUAGCUAGUUAGUGAGGUAACGGCUCACCAAGGCAACGAUACGUAGCCGACCUGAGAGGGUGAUCGGCCACACUGGAACUGAGACACGGUCCAGACUCCUACGGGAGGCAGCAGUAGGGAAUCUUCCGCAAUGGGCGAAAGCCUGACGGAGCAACGCCGCGUGAGUGAUGAAGGUCUUCGGAUCGUAAAACUCUGUUAUUAGGGAAGAACAAAUGCGUAAGUAACUGUGCGCGUCUUGACGGUACCUAAUCAGAAAGCCACGGCUAACUACGUG